This 274-nucleotide ribosomal RNA is filed under the name uncultured bacterium. RNAcentral's name for it is "partial 16S ribosomal RNA". It matches the Rfam family "Bacterial small subunit ribosomal RNA", at positions 523 to 796 of the family's 1533-position model. The record is from RNAcentral.
ACACGGAGGGCGCAAGCGUUGCUCGGAAUCACUGGGCGUAAAGCGGGUGUAGGCGCUCUAGCAAGUCAGAUGUGAAAGCCCACGGCUCAACCGUGGAAGUGCAUCUGAAACUGCUAGACUUGAGUGCCGGAGAGGGAAGUGGAAUUCCUGGUGUAGGGGUGAAAUCCGUAGAUAUCAGGAGGAACACCGGUGGCGAAGGCGACUUCCUGGACGGCCACUGACGCUGAGACCCGAAAGCGUGGGGAGCAAACAGGAUUAGAAACCCCAGUAGUCC